Long non-coding RNA from Helicoverpa zea (corn earworm), 1471 nucleotides. RefSeq lists it as uncharacterized. Lineage: Eukaryota; Metazoa; Arthropoda; Insecta; Lepidoptera; Noctuidae. The record is from RefSeq and is a predicted model, not a curated record. The transcript is spliced from 3 exons.
GCAAUUACGUUGAGGCGGCGGGAUUCAAUAUUUGUUGACAUUUCAUCAUUUAUGUCACAAAGCUCGCUUUCAAGUAAUAACACAAAUCUUUGGAGGUUAUAUUCUUCACAAGUAAAAUAAUUUAAUAUGUUCUGGUGUUCUUGGAAACUUUCGACAAGCAGUGCAUGUCGCAUCUUCAAUUAUGUUGAAUCUACUCAAAUGAAUGAGCGGGUGCGGUGUAAUGCCCAAACAUGAGUCUGUUCAGUGUUGUAAUGAAGUCUCUACUCGCAAUCUUUAGCUGAUAAUACCAGGGUUUUCUAGGAGUAUUUGGGAGAGUUCUGGGUGGAAAAGAAGAUCCUCACCGGUUAUCUCAGGAGCACUAGAUUGAACAGGACGGAGACAAGUGAAACAAAGCUGUCUGCACAACUUCGCCCUCGUCUGAAGCCAUAUUGAACAUUUGGUAGUAUGUCAUUGUGUUCAACAAACCAGUCAAGCCGAGUUUUUAUCAUGUUCUCAAAUAUUUUACUUAGACAAGAUGAUAAUGAAAUAGGUCAGUAGGAAUUAGCACUAUCGGGCGGCACUGUCUUUAAAAUAGGUAUUGCACAUUGAGUUUUCCAUGACUCGGGAAUAAUCUGUUUCAUCCAUAAGUUAUUAAGAAUGUCUAACAGCCAGUUUCUUCAUCAAAAGUUAAAGUCAAAGUAAUGACUAAAGUUAAAGUAACGGUUAAAUUCAAUUUUUCUAUUAAUUUUGCUGUCACUUUAGCCUUGAAAAAACGAAUUUGACCGUUACUUUAACUUUAGACAUUACUUUAACUUUAACUUUUGAUGAAAAAACUGGCCAUAAGAAAAGUUUUUGAACUGACUGAUCAAGUUUUUUAAUUAAAAUUUAAGUUAAACCAUGUAAUCCAGGUGUUGUAUCUUCACGUGAAUUUAAAGAUGCAGAAAAUUCCUGAAAUAAAAACUUUUCUAAGAGAAAUUUCCUAUUUUUAAUUAUCGUUAUGAAAAUUAAAAUAUUUUUCUAACUUUGUAAAUUGUAUCCAGAAAUAUUAAAUAAUCUAUUGUUUUUAAACCAUGUUUCAUGUAAAAGAAAAAUAUCAAUAUUUUCAUUUGCAAAAAAAUCUAUUAAUAAGGGUUUUUUAUUAUAUGCGUUUUGUAUAUUGAACUGUGCUAUCCGUAACUGUGACUGUGAUAAGGUGCUAUAGGAAAGAUAUUUAUGUAACAUAUUGUUAACUGUUUUAUUAUUCAUUGGAGUCCCAUCACCCUUAUUGCUAAUUUCAAGUACAGUGCGAAUAAUUGCUGAGUUUAAAUCUGUAUUAUUUAUUAGUUGCUCUUUUAAAUUAAUUUGAGGAGCUUGUGUAGUGGGAACUACAGGUAAUUUAUUAAUCUUAGAAGUAGAGCUACUAUCUACCUUAUGUGCAGAUGAAGGCGCAAAUUUAAUUUACAUUUUGUACAAUUUUUCAGGUGUGGUUUUAAUUAUAUUAAUAUUCACAAAA